UGAGAAAAAGAAGAGGAAAA
RNAcentral lists this microRNA (20 nucleotides) under Corchorus olitorius. RNAcentral's name for it is "ath-miR50". Lineage: Eukaryota; Viridiplantae; Streptophyta; Magnoliopsida; Malvales; Malvaceae. The record is from RNAcentral.